UUUCCCAUGAGGAAAAUCAAUCUUAGCUGGCCGCCUUGAGGAGGAGUUUGUGGAGAAACAACCAUGAGAAUUAGAGGAAACCUCCAUGAUUAGUCAACAAACUUAUCAAAGAGUUUCUUCUUCGUUUUGCUUCUUAAUUAUUAAAAUAUCUUUGCAAAUUGUUUUGAUAUUUUUCCAUUGAUAAUGAUGACUUAAUUUUGUUUAGCUAGAAUAAUUCCAUUAAUUUGAUGAAAUUUAUUUUAUUCAUGUUUAAGAUGUUCUAUGCCUCACCCGUUCAUGCUUUCAAUUAAACCCAUGCAUGUAUUUCUUUCAUUAAAAUAUGAUUGAAUGCAUUAAAAUUAGUUGAUCAAUCCUAACCAGAUGAUGAUUAAUGGAUGCAAUAAUUGAAAGAUGAAUGCUUAAUUUAGAUCCUAGCUUGAUUGAAUUAAUGGUUCGUAAUAACUCGAGAGAGCUCUAUUACCUUGCAUAACUUUUCGAUUUGUGUGGUUAAAUUAUUUCAAACCUAAUCCGUCCUUGUUACUUCACAUAAACUCUAAGAACCCUUAGUUAAAUAUGAUCAUGGUAGUAUGCAUGUUUUUCUAAGUAUAAGAUUUCAAAAGAACUUAUAAUUGGUUUAAAGUUAAUGAAAGAUCGAGUUACCAUGGAAUAAUUUUUGAAACUGUAUUAAGCAUGAUGAAAAUGAACUAAGUUAAAUGUGUAAUUAUUCUAGUGUAUUCAUGUUAUUAUUGUUUAACCUGUGAAAUUGUUGCUAAACUAUCUCAUUUUAUUCAUUGCAUUUAGAUUAAUUCAUUUGCAUUUAAUUAAUUUACAGUAACACCUCCAAUAAAAAUUAUUGUGUUCUGUUACCAACUUGUAAUCUUUAAUGUUGCAAUUAUUUGACUAACAUAUACAGUCCCUAUGGAGACGAUAACUCUUUUACUUACUUAUUACUUGCUAACGACUGUGCAUACUUGCACAAACCUACGCGUUACAUUUGCCCCCUAUUUUUACUGGUUGUUUAUAUUCAUUUACUGGUGGUUUAUCCACAACGCGGUGUGUAGGGAUGGAUGAGUUCUAGGGAACUCUUACUGUGGUGUGUAAAGGAGUAUGGAUAGGAGCUUUUCUGUUAAACAUGAAUUGCAUUGACAUUCAUGGGCGUACUCAAAUAAACUGUUAUACUUUAUAUUGUUAUACGAUUGUAAUUGCUCUAAGAACUGUAAUUUUGUAAGCCUUGUCUUCUGUUUUGCACUAAUUUUCUUGUGUUUAGACUCACACUGAGCUCUUUAAAACUCACCCCUUUUAUUUGAAUCUUCAUAGUUAACCUUCAAGGUUAGAAAUGGGCUCAACAUUCAAAGGUCUCAGCUCGAAUUAUUUUCGUUAAAAGUAUAGUAGACAUGAUAUUAUAAUUUAUGUUAGUUGAGAACUAUAUGAUUU
This 1413-nucleotide long non-coding RNA is filed under the name Gossypium barbadense (sea-island cotton). RNAcentral's name for it is "long non-coding RNA (GBAR_LNC015477)". Lineage: Eukaryota; Viridiplantae; Streptophyta; Magnoliopsida; Malvales; Malvaceae. The record is from RNAcentral.